RNAcentral lists this ribosomal RNA (253 nucleotides) under uncultured bacterium. RNAcentral's name for it is "partial 16S ribosomal RNA". It matches the Rfam family "Bacterial small subunit ribosomal RNA", at positions 524 to 776 of the family's 1533-position model. The record is from RNAcentral.
UACGAAGGGGGCUAGCGUUGUUCGGAUUUACUGGGCGUAAAGCGCACGUAGGCGGAUCGUUAAGUGAGGGGUGAAAUCCCAGGGCUCAACCCUGGAACUGCCUUUCAUACUGGCGAUCUAGAGUCCGGAAGAGGUGAGUGGAACUCCUAGUGUAGAGGUGGAAUUCGUAGAUAUUAGGAAGAACACCAGUGGCGAAGGCGGCUCACUGGUCCGGUACUGACGCUGAGGUGCGAAAGCCAGGGGAGCAAACGGG